GGGGAGACUGGAAUUCCUGGUGUAGCGGUGAAAUGCGCAGAUAUCAGGAGGAACACCGAUGGCGAAGGCAGGUCUCUGGGCAUUAACUGACGCUGAGGAGCGAAAGCAUGGGGAGCGAACAGGAUUAGAUACCCUGGUAGUCCAUGCCGUAAACGUUGGGCACUAGGUGUGGGGGACAUUCCACGUUUUCCGCGCCGUAGCUAACGCAUUAAGUGCCCCGCCUGGGGAGUACGGCCGCAAGGCUAAAACUCAAAGGAAUUGACGGGGGCCCGCACAAGCGGCGGAGCAUGCGGAUUAAUUCGAUGCAACGCGAAGAACCUUACCAAGGCUUGACAUGGGCCGGACCGGGCUGGAAACAGUCCUUCCCCUUUGGGGCCGGUUCACAGGUGGUGCAUGGUUGUCGUCAGCUCGUGUCGUGAGAUGUUGGGUUAAGUCCCGCAACGAGCGCAACCCUCGUUCCAUGUUGCCAGCGCGUAAUGGCGGGGACUCAUGGGAGACUGCCGGGGUCAACUCGGAGGAAGGUGGGGACGACGUCAAAUCAUCAUGCCCCUUAUGUCUUGGGCUUCACGCAUGCUACAAUGGCCGGUACAAAGGGUUGCGAUACUGUGAGGUGGAGCUAAUCCCAAAAAGCCGGUCUCAGUUCGGAUUGGGGUCUGCAACUCGACCCCAUGAAGUCGGAGUCGCUAGUAAUCGCAGAUCAGCAACGCUGCGGUGAAUACGUUCCCGGGCCUUGUACACACCGCCCGUCAAGUCACGAAAGUUGGUAACACCCGAAGCCGGUGGCCUAACCCCUUGUGGGA
RNAcentral lists this ribosomal RNA (800 nucleotides) under Arthrobacter sp. Its description in RNAcentral is "bacterial SSU rRNA". It matches the Rfam family "Bacterial small subunit ribosomal RNA", at positions 654 to 1448 of the family's 1533-position model. The record is from RNAcentral. Lineage: Bacteria; Bacillati; Actinomycetota; Actinomycetes; Micrococcales; Micrococcaceae.